UCCGGUUUGUCACCGGCAGUCUCAUUAGAGUGCCCAACUGAAUGUAGCAACUAAUGACAAGGGUUGCGCUCGUUGCGGGACUUAACCCAACAUCUCACGACACGAGCUGACGACAGCCAUGCAGCACCUGUGUUCCGAUUCCCUUUCGGGCACACUCGCCUCUCAGCAAGCUCUCGGACAUGUCAAGGGUAGGUAAGGUUUUUCGCGUUGCAUCGAAUUAAUCCACAUAAUCCACCGCUUGUGCGGGUCCCCGUCAAUUCCUUUGAGUUUUAGCCUUGCGGCCGUACUCCCCAGGCGGGGCACUUAAUGCGUUAGCUGCGGCACCGACAUGCAUGCAUGCCGACGCCUAGCACUCAUCGUUUACGGCGUGGACUAC
This 376-nucleotide unclassified non-coding RNA is filed under the name uncultured bacterium. RNAcentral describes it as "contains 16S-23S intergenic spacer region". The record is from RNAcentral.